This 429-nucleotide ribosomal RNA is filed under the name Chloroflexota bacterium. Its description in RNAcentral is "Chloroflexi bacterium partial 16S ribosomal RNA". It matches the Rfam family "Bacterial small subunit ribosomal RNA", at positions 355 to 776 of the family's 1533-position model. Lineage: Bacteria; Bacillati; Chloroflexota. The record is from RNAcentral.
UGGGGAAUAUUGCACAAUGGGCGCAAGCCUGAUGCAGCCAUGCCGCGUGUGUGAAGAAGGCCUUUGGGUUGUAAAGCACUUUCAGCGGGGAGGAAGGCGGUGAGGUUAAUAACCUCAUCGAUUGACGUUACCCGCAGAAGAAGCACCGGCUAACUCCGUGCCAGCAGCCGCGGUAAUACGGAGGGUGCAAGCGUUAAUCGGAAUUACUGGGCGUAAAGCGCACGCAGGCGGUCUGUCAAGUCGGAUGUGAAAUCCCCGGGCUCAACCUGGGAACUGCAUUCGAAAAUGGCAGGCUAGAGUCUUGUAGAGGGGGGUAGAAUUCCAGGUGUAGCGGUGAAAUGCGUAGAGAUCUGGAGGAAUACCGGUGGCGAAGGCGGGCCCCUGGACAAAGACUGACGCUCAGGUGCGAAAGCGUGGGGAGCAAACAGG